CCAGUGCGAACAGCUGAGAGGUGUGAUUUCACAGGCUGGCUCCCCCCUGUCAGGGCCCUGAUUGGGCCGGACAGGAGGCACAGGAGAGGCCCGGGCUUCUAAAGGACACCAACAGGUGGGAGGCCGCUUUGGAGGGGGGUGCUCCUGGCGGGAUAGAAAAGGGCGAUCUGCAAGGCCUGUUGUGGGCACAAUCCACCGGGCCAGAUAUGGAAGAGGAUGGUUGAUCGCAGGAUAGCUGAGGUGAAGAGAGCAGAGGGGCAGGAUGAAGUUGUGGAGUGGUUCUCGGGAAGGGAUAGUUAAGAGUUUUUGGGCUGUGAAGGGUGGAUAGGGCAGCUUCAGGGACAAGGUGUAAGGUUGGUCUGAGAGUUUAGCCUUUUCUGGUCACAGUGUUCCAGUGCUUUCUGACCAACAAGUUUUUGUAGUUUUUUAGUUGUUGGUUAAUGUAAAAGGUUGAUAUUUGACAUCAGCAACUGGACAGUACAUUGACAUGGUGUUCUGUUGCAGACUUUUUGGUCAUUCUAGUUUCCUUGAUUUGCGGCACCAUGUAAAACAAGCAUGUGUCAAACCAGUUGUUUUCCGUACGUUUUACGAUAGAAACAACACACCAUGGCAGAGCCUGACACCUCUGUCAGGUGAGGGGAAGCUGAGGUGUGACACAGGAAGGAAUCAGGAAAUUCUCACUACAGUCUAAUCAGAGAAAAAGGGCCAGGCUUUCUAAUAGCAAUUUGGUUCGGAGCUGGUUGGUUAGGUUAAUCAAGGAAGUCACCACAAGAAAGUGUAGGAGAGGCUGGUCAAACCCAAUGUGGCCUCAAGCUCAACUCCGGCUGCUCACCACAAGAAAACCACAUAGGAGAAGCAGCAGGAUUCAAUAUAGGUAAGGCUGAAGAGGACAUGGUGGCCUGAACCCUCGAAGAAGAUUUCCCCCUACUAUUUCCUCUCUUUCUCUUCUCUCAUGUCCUUCUUUUUCUAUGUCCUCUACCCCUAUAACCUUCCGUCUCUCACCCCUCCUCACAGCAUGUCCCCUUCCUGCUCCCCCUCGCUCAGCCGCCUCUUGCAGCUGAAGCAACACGCCUUGCUGUGGCUGGUCAAACGGAACCAAGUCAGGUGUUUCUGUGAGGUUUGGUCCCCUUCAACCAGCUACUGCGUCGUGAAUUCAGUCAGCGUGGAAUCAAAGACACAGUGGCGUUGUGGUGUUCGCUGCAUACAUUGGGGAUUUGUUAUUGAUAGAUUAUUUUUGUUCUUCGGUAGUCUGGGGUUUGUUUGUUUCCUGUUUGACAAUGGAUGUUUGAAAAAGCAAAUAAAGGAUUGCUGAACAUA
This is a long non-coding RNA of Etheostoma cragini (Arkansas darter), 1317 nucleotides long. RefSeq lists it as uncharacterized. The transcript has 2 exons. Lineage: Eukaryota; Metazoa; Chordata; Actinopteri; Perciformes; Percidae. The record is from RefSeq and is a predicted model, not a curated record.